UUGUCCCUUGAUUGAACAUGUCAUGUGAACCUAUUUUGUUUUACAUUCGGUAAAAUGAAAGUCUUGGAAGGACUCUUGACGCGAAAAUGAGAUUUUAGCCUAUAUGGUUACAAGUUUAAUAAGUAUGAAGGUUCAACUUGUCCCUUGAUGUCCCUUGAUGCGAAACAUGAUAUUUGAAACUAUUUGGUUUUAAAUUCGGAAAAAUUUAAGUAGUGAAAGAACCGUAGUCGCAAAAAUGAGAUUUUGUCCUAUAUGCUUGCAAGUUGAAUAAAUGGGAAG
This 279-nucleotide long non-coding RNA is filed under the name Medicago truncatula (barrel medic). RNAcentral describes it as "long non-coding RNA (MTRU_LNC001657)". Lineage: Eukaryota; Viridiplantae; Streptophyta; Magnoliopsida; Fabales; Fabaceae. The record is from RNAcentral.